AGCGAACGCUGGCGGCAGGCCUAACACAUGCACGUCGAACGAAGUCUUCGGACUUAGUGGCGGACGGGUGAGUAACACGUGGGAACGUGCCUUUAGGUUCGGAAUAACUCAGGGAAACUUGUGCUAAUACCGAAUGUGCCCUUCGGGGGAAAGAUUUAUCGCCUUUAGAGCGGCCCGCGUCUGAUUAGCUAGUUGGUGAGGUAAAGGCUCACCAAGGCGACGAUCAGUAGCUGGUCUGAGAGGAUGAUCAGCCACAUUGGGACUGAGACACGGCCCAAACUCCUACGGGAGGCAGCAGUGGGGAAUCUUGCGCAAUGGGCGAAAGCCUGACGCAGCCAUGCCGCGUGAAUGAUGAAGGUCUUAGGAUUGUAAAAUUCUUUCACCGGGGACGAUAAUGACGGUACCCGGAGAAGAAGCCCCGGCUAACUUCGUGCCAGCAGCCGCCGCCG
RNAcentral lists this ribosomal RNA (449 nucleotides) under uncultured bacterium. RNAcentral describes it as "partial 16S ribosomal RNA". It matches the Rfam family "Bacterial small subunit ribosomal RNA", at positions 29 to 523 of the family's 1533-position model. The record is from RNAcentral.